AUUACAAGUUCAGGUUUUACAAUAGUGACAAUAUCUUAAAAAAUGAUUUGUUGGAUUGGUUCUGUUUAAAACGACUAAGUACCCAGUUAGCAAUGUUUAAGAAGACAAGGAGUUAGGACAAUGAGCAUACACUAUGACACAGGGCAAAACAAACACAGCAGCUGCUUCACUCACAGAGAGCUGGUUGAUGUUUGUUCGUAUUGCUCUACCCCAGCAGGGUUCGUUCAUUCAUUUGGCUCUACCCGAGGAGGGUUCAUUUGGCUCUUCUUCCCGAGCUGGAAUUUGUUAACCUCUGGCUGGUACGGUAGUCGAUGACUAGUUUGGUAGUCCAUGGUAAGCUGCUGAGCUCUCUUCCCCCCCACUCCAAGCCGUGCCGGCUGUGUUGUAUCGGAGAUAGCCUCUCGCAGCUGCGUUGGGCGUGUCUCCCAUGUCUGUAGCCAUGGGGGGACAACAAACAUACAAUUACAGUAUGUACUGAUCUACAAUGGGAGUCACAAGCACACGUUUGAAAUAAGCACUUUGCUUUUAGAGUUCUACAGAGAGCGUUGUAAUGGAGUCUUUUUCCCCACAGGCGAUCAGCUGAGAGAGGCAGGGGUCGAGGAGCAGCGAGGAGUCAGAUGUCUGUCUGUGCAGAGGUUCCCGGUCGAACGGCGCCCUCGAAGGCACAGGCAAUCAGCAGAGAGGGACAGCGGUCGGGGAGCGGCGAAGAGUCAGACGUCCAUCCGUGGAGAGGUUCAUGGUCGAACGGCGCCUUGAAGACAGGAUAUUGACGCAUAAAUACGCAGGCAGACAGACAGACAGACAGUGGAGACGGAGAGACGGACAGACGCAGAUGGGCUGGCGUUCGGGCGGGCUGACGGACAGACGCAGAUAGGUUGGCGUUCUGGCGGGCUGACGGACAGACGCAGAUUGGCUGGCGUUCGGGCGGGCUGACGGACAGACGCAGAUAGGUUGGCGUUCUGGCGGGCUGACGGACAGACGCAGAUUGGCUGGUGUUCGGGCGGGCUGACGGACAGACGCAGAUGGGCUGGCGUUCGGGCGGGCUGACGGACAGACGCAGAUGGGCUGGCGUUCGGGCGGGCUGACGGACAGACGCAGAUGGGCUGGCGUUCGGGCGGGCUGACGGACAGACGCAGAUGGGCUGGCGUUCGGGCGGGCUGACGGACAGACGUAGAUGGGCUGGCGUUCAGGCGGGCUGACGGACAGACAAAGACAGCUUAAAGUUUUAAGUCAAUCAACAUCUUGCUACCAUGGAAAGGAAAAUACCUGUCUAUUUGUGGCAAAAUCACACUAAUGAACUCUUUAGUCAUAUUCCAGCACAUCAAUUUGCUUACGUCCCUGCCUAUACCUAACUAACUGUGAGCAAAAAAUAUUCAAUUUUAUCUGGAACAGCAAGCGAGACUAAAUUAAACAGGCCUAUUUAUACAAGUAAUAUGAAUUUGGAGGGCAGAAAUGAUUAAAUAUUAAAGCAUUAGACGGUAUAAUCUUUGUAAAUUACACUACCAUUCAAAAGUUUGGGGUCACUUAGAAAUGUCCUUGUUUUUUAAAGAAAAGCACAUUUUUUGUCCAUUAAAAUAGCGUCAAACUGAUCAGAAAUACAGUGGAGAUUUUGUUAAUGUUGUAAAUGACUAUUGUAGCUGGAAACGGCUGAUUUUGAAUGGAAUAUCUACAUAGGCGUACAGAGGCCCAUCAUCAGCAACCAUCACUCCUGUGUUCCAAUGGCAUGUUGUGUUAGCUAUUCCAAGUUUAUCAUUUUAAAAGGAUAAUCGAUCAUUAGAAAACCCUUUAGCACAGCUGAAAACUGUUGUGAUGAUUAAAGAAGCAAUAACACUGGCCUUCUUUAGACUAGUCUGGAGCAUCAGCAUUUGUGGGAUUGAUUACAGGCUCAAAAAGGCCAGAAACCAAGGAAUUUCUUCUGAAACUCGUCAGUCUAUUCUUGUUCUGAGAAAUUAAGGCUAUUCCAUGCGAGAAAUUGCUACUACUCCCCUCACAGAACAGCGCAAAUUGUCUCUAACCAGAAUAGAAAGAUGAGUGGGAGGCCCCGGUGCACAACUGAGCAAGAGGACAAGUACAUUAGAGUGUCCAGUUUGAGAAACAGACACCUCACACAUACUCAACUGGCAGCUUCAUGAAAUAGUACCCGCAAAACACCAGUCUCAACUUCAACAUUGAAUAGGCGACUCCGGGAUGCUGGCUUACUGCGUCCGUAAAAUGUAUGUACUGUAGGUUCGGAACUUUUGUAAAACAGCACAGUUGAAAAAUGUAUGGCAGCUAGAAAUCUAAACUGGACGGUCUUCAGAUAUUGAUGGGAGGGGUUGAGGUUAGCUGAUUGACGGGACUAAAAACAAAGAUAACUAUUUAUUUAUUAUUUAUUUAUUAUCCCAGCCUCAUUAACAUGUUUUAUUUUACCAUUAUUUUACCAGGUAAGUUGACUGAGAACAUAUUCUCAUUUACAGCAAUGACCUGGGAAAUAGUUACAGGGGAUAGGAGGGGGGACGAAUGAGCCAAUUGUAAGCAAAAUGAGCAAAUUGAAUGAGCCAAUUGUAUUGUAAAAUAUAUUGUGUCUGUAAAAUGUAUAUAGUAUGUAUAAGCUGGAACUGGAAGCCCAAGUGUUGCUGUCCAUUAGUUUACUCCAAUUAGGGGAGGGGUGGUAGGGUUAGGGGAAAAUAAUAACGGAAAAUAGGAUAUGCUGUCCCAGCUAGCACAAUGGAUCUGGGCCAAUUCCGGCUGAGAGUCGGGGCACUCGGCUGAGAGUCAUACUCGGCAGACCUCAUGUGGCCCGAGUCUGGGCUACCUUCGGCAGUAUUACAUAUGGCUAGGAUGCGGGGACUGCGCUCGGGCCGAUUCCGUUGUGAGUUAUCUGGCCCAAAUAUAUUACUUGAGGUUUGGCUGAUUGGGGCGACUCUCUGGCAGAUGAUGAGACGGGCUGCUUUAUAUAAUUAACAUUUCAUUAUUUAUUUUCCCCCUUAUUUUCUUCAUUGUUUCUGUGAUCAAAAAAUACAAUUAACAUUUAAAUUAAAUUCUUUGAGUCCUGUGUAAUAUUUUUGUAUUUUGAUUCUUUGUGCAAAGAAAUUGAUAAGCAUUAAAACUUUAUGGAUGGAACCUCCCGAGUGGUGCAGUAGUCUAGAAACUGUGUUUCUACAGAUGCUUGUUUGAGACCCGCGCUGCCCGCGACCGGGAGACCCAUGAGGCGACGCACAAUUGGCCCAGCGUCGUCCGAGUUAGUGGAGGGUUUUGCUGGCCGGGAUGUCCUUGUCCUAUAG
Molecule: long non-coding RNA, 3263 nt
Organism: Oncorhynchus keta (chum salmon)
Lineage: Eukaryota; Metazoa; Chordata; Actinopteri; Salmoniformes; Salmonidae
Exons: 3
Source: RefSeq, a predicted model, not a curated record